Molecule: transfer RNA, 72 nt
Filed under: Cutibacterium acnes
Lineage: Bacteria; Bacillati; Actinomycetota; Actinomycetes; Propionibacteriales; Propionibacteriaceae
Also listed under: 5 other names
Description: tRNA-Cys
Rfam family: tRNA
About the family: Transfer RNA (tRNA) molecules are approximately 80 nucleotides in length. Their secondary structure includes four short double-helical elements and three loops (D, anti-codon, and T loops).
Source: RNAcentral
UCCCUAGUGGCUCAGAUGGUAAAGAAUCUGCCUGCAAUGCAGGAGACCUGGGUUUGAUCCCUGGGUGGGGAA